This 5157-nucleotide long non-coding RNA is filed under the name Homo sapiens (human). Its description in RNAcentral is "non-protein coding RPS6KA2-AS1:3". Lineage: Eukaryota; Metazoa; Chordata; Mammalia; Primates; Hominidae. The record is from RNAcentral.
AAAGUGAGGGGAGAAUGCCGCGUUGAACGCACAGUGGGGAGAACAACCCGCGAACUCAUAAAGGGGAGAACGCAGCGUGAAAGCACACAGCGGGGAGAACGCCUGGGGAACGCAAAGAGUAAAGAGAAUGCCUUGGGAACGCACAGGAGAGAGAACGCAACCUGAACACACGGUGGGGGCUGGAGGAAGAACGUCGGGAGAUCACACAGGGAGGAGAACGCCAGGUGAACGCACAAGAGAAAACGCCUGGUGAACGCGCAAAGAAAGGAGAAAGCCAGGUGAACGCACAGGGAGAACGCCGCACAACCGCACAGGUAGGAGAAAGCCAUGUGAACGCACAAAGAAAGGAGAACGCUGAGUGAACGCACACAGGGCCGAGAACGCCAGGGGAACGCACACAGUAAAGAGAACACCGAGAACGCCGUGGGAACGCACAGGAGAGAGAACGCCACGUGAACACACGAGGGAGAACGCCGCGGGAACACACAGAAGGGCGAAUGCCCGGCGAACGCACAGAGGGGAGAACGCCAGGGGAACACGCACGGGGGAGAACGCUGCGCGAUCACACAGCGGGGAGAACACCGGGUAAACACACACUGGGGAAAACACCGCGUGAACGCAUAGAGGGGAGAACCCCGGGUGAACACACAGAGGGGAGAGCUCCGUGUGAACACAAAGGGAGGAGAACGCCUGGUGAGCACACACGGGGAGAGAACACCGCGCGGACCCACAAGGGGGAGAAUGCCUGGUGAACGUACAGCGGGAGGGGAGAACGCUGGUGAACGCACAGCGGGGAAAACGCCAUGUGAACGCACAAAGGAAGGAGAACGCCAGGUGAACUCAUACAGGGGGUAGGAACGCCAGAGGAAAGCACACAGUAAAGAGAAGGCCGUGGGAACGCGCAGGGGAGAGAACGCCGGGAGAACACAGAGGGAGGAAAAUGCCAGGUGAACGCACAAGGGGGAAAACGCCUGGUGAACGCACAAAGGAGAAAGCCAGGUGAACGCACAAGCAGCAGAACGCCAAGUGAACGCACGAGGGGAGAAUGCUGCGCCAACACACACGGGAAACACAACCGCGCGAGCACGCAGUGGGGAGAACGGCACGCGAACGCUCAGCAAGAAGAACGUAAGUUGAACGGACAGCGGGGAGAACGCCGCCCUAACACACGCGGGAAAUAACGACGCGUGAACACACAGCAGGGAGAACGCCGCGUGAAAGCACAGGGGGGAGAACGCCGCGUGAAUGCACACACGGGAAAUAACGCCGUGUGAACACACAGCGGGGAGAACGCCGCGUGAACGCACACAGGGGAAAUAACGCCGCGCGAACACACAGGGGGAAGAACGUCACAGGGACGCACAGUGGGGAAACGCCAUGUGAACGCACAAAGAAAGAACGCCACGUGAACUCGCACACGCGGGGAGAACGCCGGGGAAACGCACACAGUAAAGAGAACGCAGUUUGAACGCACAGGGGAGAGAACGCCACGUGAACACACAGAAGGGAGAAUGCAGUGCGAACACACAGAAGGGAGAACACCUGGUGAAGGCACAGAGGGGAGAACGCCGAGCGAACGCACAGGGUGGAGAAUGCCAUGUGAACGCACAAAGAAAGGAGAACCCCUGGUGAACGCACACAGGAGAAAGAAUGCCGAGGAACGCACAGAGUAAAGAGACCGCCGUGGGAACACACAGGGGAGAGAACGCCACGUGAACACAUGGGGAGAACGCCGCGGGAACACACAGAAGGGCGACCGCCUGGUGGAUGCACAGAGGGGAGAACGCCAGGGGAACACACACAGGGGAGAACGCUGGGCGAUCACACAGGGUGGAGAACGCCGGGUAAAUACACACUGGGGAAAACGCUGUGCAAUCGCAUAGAGGGAAGAACGCCGGGUGAACACACAGGGUGCGUUCUUCCAUCAUGCGGCUGCGCCUGAGUCUCUGAGUCUACUCUGGCUUAGAAGGCUGCCUGAUUCGCAAAUUGUUUAUUGCUCAAUUACAUGCUUUUAAAUUUAAUUCAGCUGAAGUGUUUCUUUUCUCACGGCCCACCCACUAGAUGUGGCUCUGUCACUGGUGCUGGCCAGUGGGGCGUGGAGGGACCGGUGUCCUUCCCAGCACAGACACAAGGAAGCGGCUGUGCCUUCUCCACACUCUUCUCCCUGACUCUUGGCUACAGCUGUAAACCCAGGGUUAGAUUCAGGGGCCUGUGACCUCCAAUGGGAAAACAACUGCAUUAUUUGUACCUCAUAUUUAGUAUUUCCAUCAAUUAUGAGUGUAGGCAAAAAAGCACAGUAGCUUCAGCAGGACUGGUGUUUUGCUGGCAGUACAAAACAUUUUCAUAUCCUAUUCCUUGCUGUCUUGUGUUUUCUUUAAUGUGUUAAAAAAUCUUAUUCUGAGACCAUCAGGCCACUGGAAGGGGUUCAUGGCACAAAAAAAGAUGCAGCCCAGCAAUAAGGUGAAAGAGAGAUGACGGAGCCACUGGACACAAGAAGCCUUGCACCCUGAGUCACCCCGUGGAGCACUGACGAGCCUCGGCUCCUGAUUCAUUAUGCGGAGUGCUGCCUAGUACCAGGAGCAACAGCACUGGACAGGGACAUGAGUAAGAAAUAAAACUUCCAGAGCGUGAAGCUAGUGAAAUGAUGGGAUGUGUUUAUCACAGGGCUAGCAUCAUCCUAACCAGCAUGGAGACAUGCGGGGCUGUGAACGGGAGCCUAGAGCUGCAAAUUAGACAAGCCUGGGCCAGGAGACCUUUUGCAGGCUGCAAAGCUGCUCUCUCCUUUGCCUCCUCUGUACCUCAAAGGACCUGGGGUGGUGAAGGGAGUUGUGGGCCGACCUGAGUCAGCCUGAACAGGCUGUUCCUUCAGCAGAUUCCUCAAGCUCUGCCCCGGCCCCUUCCUCGGCCCACCCCAGCUUGCCCUCCAAGGGGUAUUAUCACUGUGACCCUCGUCUCCUCCUCCUGUUCAGGCUUUGCCUUGGCAGCGCAGCAGUGCCCCUCUGCAAAGGGGUCUCGCAUGCUGUUCAGCAGCUCUCUUCCCGCCACAGCGAUGGGCAGCCGGAUCCCAGCUGGAACUCCGCCACAUCCCAGGAAUGUGAAUACCAGUGGAAUCCGGAUAGGACGGUGUGACCCAGGCACAGUGGGUGAGAACCGGAGCUUGGCUAGCAGGCAGGGGUUCAGCUGCUCACACCCCUCCGGAACACAACUCCAUGUGUGGGAACACCCCUCUGGAACACAGCUCUGCACUCACCCCUCCAGAACACAACUCUGUGUGUGGGAAUACACACCCCUCCGGAACACAACUCCGUGUGUGGGAACACCCCUCUGGAACACAGCUCUGCACUCACCCCUCCAGAACACAACUCUGUGUGUGGGAAUACACACCCCUCCGGAACACAACUCCAUGUGUGGGAACACCCCUCUGGAACACAGCUCUGCACUCACCCCUCCAGAACACAACUCUGUGUGUGGGAAUACACACCCCUCCGGAACACAGCUCCGUGUGUGGAGCACUCACCCCUCCAGAGCUCCUGUACUUUUCCCUUUAGGCCAUAUAGGACGCUGGUCAAAGAAUUUCCAUCCAGGAACCAGCUAGGACUCCCAGGGUCUCUUCAGGCCUUUCCCACUGCCUUCCCAUCAUCCCCAGCAGAACACCCGUGGUCCUGCAGCCCCGCAGCCUGCAGUCACGCUCUGUCCUCCCACUCAGCAGCAUGAGGGACAAAUUGUAAAUUUCUGCAGCAGGCCUUUGUUCCCGCCAGCACCGGGCUGUGUUUGCCUUUCCGUGCCUCGCAUGCUUUCAGGCCUGAGUCCUCUGGCUUCUUUCCCCACACUCUCUCCUCUGACCACCAGUUCCCUGCCUCUAAGCUAUUGCUGCAGGUUUUGCCAACGCUUCUUCCUUCUCCACUUCCUGCACCUUCGCAUGUUCCUUGAGGCCUUGAACCCCUUUCCUAUGCUGCCCACUCCUGUUCCCAAGUUGCACUGCCACCCCACCAUCUCCACCCACCGCUGCUGCAUGCCCUGUUCAUUACCUGCUGAUGUCAUUGCUGCCACCGUCCACCCACCCUGAAGGCCCAACCCGCUCUCCCCACCAACUCCUGAUGCCAGCUCACCUCCCUGCCCGGCCCCGCUCUCCCCACCAACUCCUCAAUGCCAGCUCACCUCCCUGCCCGGCCCCGCUCUCCCCACCAAUUCCUCCUGCCAGCUUAGCUCCCUGAGCAGCAGCCUUCAGCAGACACAGGGCUGGCUUCCACGCAGUGGUGAAUUCAUGAAAGGGGCCCUGUUCGUGCUUCUCUUGAUCUCUUACCACCUGGAUUGGAUGAAAAUCUGCCUGGAUGUCUUUAUUACUGGCUAGUGAAUCCUAACACAUGGGCUUUCUGAGUAUAUCUUAAUUUAAUCCAUCUUGCAUUUUGCCAAUGGUUCCUCAUAGUCAACCUCCGAAUCAAGGUGGAUAUCUUUCUUAAGCUAAAACAUGUAGAAUAAAAGCCACUUUUAUUCAGGAAUUUUCUGAAUGUUCCUCUCCGCUGAGGACCCCCACUCUGUCCCCUAACCCACACUCCAGGGCAAGACACCAGUUCCUUUCUCCCCACUCCUCAAUGGCUUUCUCAGCUGUCGGACACUAGGUAAGCAGCUUCCUCAACGGCUCAUCAGCAAUGGACUGAGUAUUACUAAUUUUAAAAUAGCCCUUGAAUAUUAUUGAUUCAUGUGGUUUUUCUACGAAACACAAACUUAGCUGCACUGUGCUUGCCUGGGACUUCCUGUUUCAUUUUGGCCCAGCAUAUCUCCCAUGCAGAGCACAUGAGAAACCCUUGUAAGAUAAUGAAGGCAAGAGGAUGGGGACUGGGCAGUGUUGGUGGCUGCCUUUUGUGUCUGUCCUUGGUUCACCAAGCAGUCUAUGGAAGACACGACAGUCGGGGAGAGCUGGCUGGGGCCGGAAACACCCAUCAUGCCACAAUUCUGCUUCCUCUGUCUCCUAUUCAAGGGGCCUUCUAUGGGAAGCCUUGGGGGAGUAAAGCAAACACUCCCUGCAAUAUCGCAUCCACCAUAGAAACCCCGAGAGGAGAUUGCUCCGUGAGACCACGCCAGGGAAGGAGGAUGCUGAAUACAAGAUUCCGUCCUCAUCCAUGGGCACAGAACUUUAUCGGGACCUGGGCAAACAGC